Molecule: ribosomal RNA, 695 nt
Filed under: Phylloporus pachycystidiatus
Lineage: Eukaryota; Fungi; Basidiomycota; Agaricomycetes; Boletales; Boletaceae
Description: partial large subunit ribosomal RNA
Rfam family: Eukaryotic large subunit ribosomal RNA
Source: RNAcentral
CCCCUAGUAACUGCGAGUGAAGCGGGAAAAGCUCAAAUUUUGAAUCUGGCGGUCUUCAUGGCUGUCCGAGUUGUAAUCUAGAGAAGCGUCUUCCGCGCUGGACCGUGUACAAGUCUCCUGGAAGGGAGCGUCAUGGAGGGUGAGAAUCCCGUCUCUGACACGGACUGCCAGUGCUAUGUGAUGCGCUCUCGACGAGUCGAGUUGUUUGGGAAUGCAGCUCAAAACGGGUGGUAAAUUCCAUCUAAAGCUAAAUACAGGCGAGAGACCGAUAGCGAACAAGUACCGUGAGGGAAAGAUGAAAAGAACUUUGGAAAGAGAGUUAAACAGUACGUGAAAUUGCUGAAAGGGAAACGCUUGAUGUCAGUCACGUCCGCCAGGGAUCAACCUUGCUUAUCGUUGGGUGCAUUUCUUGGUUGGAUGGGUCAGCAUCAGUUUCGAUCGUUGUAAAAUGGUCAAGGGAACGUGGCACCUCUAGGGGUGUGUUAUAGCCUUUGGUCGUAUGCAUCGGUGGGGACUGAGGAACUCGGCACGACCUUCAUGGUUUUGUGUCUAGGAUGCUGGCAUAAUGGCCUUAAGCGACCCGUCUUGAAACACGGACCAAGGAGUCUAACAUGCCUGCGAGUGUUUGGGUGGAAAACUCGAGCGCGCAAUGAAAGUGAAAGUCGAGAUCUCUGUCAUGGAGAGCAUCGAUGCCC